This 264-nucleotide long non-coding RNA is filed under the name Physcomitrium patens. Its description in RNAcentral is "long non-coding RNA (PPAT_LNC012152)". Lineage: Eukaryota; Viridiplantae; Streptophyta; Bryopsida; Funariales; Funariaceae. The record is from RNAcentral.
AGUCCUAUUUAUACCUUAUCCUACUACUUUAGACCUUUUAGAAUGUUUCUAGGUUGUAGGCCCUCUCUAAACAACUACCUUAAACACUUUUUUAUAGAAUUUUUUAUGAUAGGCUCUACCUAAGUAAUUGCCUUCAAUCUUCUCUAAAAUGUUCCAUGCUAGAUCCUACUUAGUUUACUAAUCUAACCUCAAUUCUAGAAACUUCUAUGGUUCUAAUUAUCUAUAUAAUUAUCUUAUCUUUACCUUGUUACAAUUAAUCUCCCU